UGGAGCUUACCCAAGGGAAGGAUGGGUCUUGGAAGAGAGAAAUGAAGAAAUUCUGCUGCUCAAAAUGCUGAAAUGAAGAUUUUUUUGGAAUUGAAGUGUUGAAUGAUCACAUCUAGGUUAUAAAUCAUCAACUGCACCCGUCUGAUAGUUCCGCGGAUAUUAACCGCGGAACGCUUAAAAAACUCCCGCUGAUCCGCGGAAAAAAUACGCGGAACGUCUAUUGAAAACAGCCCUUCCGCGGAAAAAAACCGCGGAACGC
RNAcentral lists this long non-coding RNA (259 nucleotides) under Daucus carota (carrot). Its description in RNAcentral is "long non-coding RNA (DCAR_LNC001805)". The record is from RNAcentral. Lineage: Eukaryota; Viridiplantae; Streptophyta; Magnoliopsida; Apiales; Apiaceae.